ACCCGCACAAGCGGUGGAUGAUGUGGUUUAAUUCGAUGCAACGCGAAAAACCUUACCCACCUUUGACAUGGCAGGAAUCCCGAAGAGAUUUGGGAGUGCUCGAAAGAGAACCUGCACACAGGUGCUGCAUGGCUGUCGUCAGCUCGUGUCGUGAGAUGUUGGGUUAAGUCCCGCAACGAGCGCAACCCUUGCCAUUAGUUGCUACGAAAGGGCACUCUAAUGGGACUGCCGGUGACAAACCGGAGGAAGGUGGGGAUGACGUCAAGUCCUCAUGGCCCUUAUAGGUGGGGCUACACACGUCAUACAAUGGAUGGUACAAAGGGUCGCCAACCCGCGAGGGGGAGCCAAUCCCAUAAAGCCAUUCGUAGUCCGGAUCGCAGUCUGCAACUCGACUGCGUGAAGUCGGAAUCGCUAGUAAUCGUGGAUCAGAAUGUCACGGUGAAUACGUUCCCGGGUCUU
RNAcentral lists this ribosomal RNA (459 nucleotides) under uncultured Allobrachymonas sp. Its description in RNAcentral is "bacterial SSU rRNA". It matches the Rfam family "Bacterial small subunit ribosomal RNA", at positions 919 to 1382 of the family's 1533-position model. Lineage: Bacteria; Pseudomonadati; Pseudomonadota; Betaproteobacteria; Burkholderiales; Comamonadaceae. The record is from RNAcentral.